UAGGGAAUCUUCGGCAAUGGGGGGAACCCUGACCGAGCAACGCCGCGUGAGUGAAGAAGGUUUUCGGAUCGUAAAGCUCUGUUGUUAAGGAAGAACGAGUGUGAGAAUGGAAAGUUCAUGCUGUGACGGUACUUAACCAGAAAGGGACGGCUAACUACGUGCCAGCAGCCGCGGUAAUACGUAGGUCCCGAGCGUUGUCCGGAUUUAUUGGGCGUAAAGCGAGCGCAGGCGGUUAGAAAAGUCUGAAGUGAAAGGCAGUGGCUCAACCAUUGUAUGCUUUGGGAACUGUUUAACUUGAGUGCAGAAGGGGAGAGUGGAAUUCCAUGUGUAGCGGUGAAAUGCGUAGAUAUAUGGAGGAACACCGGUGGCGAAAGCGGCUCUCUGGGCUGUAACUGACGCUGAGGCUCGAAAGCGUGGGGAGCAAACAGG
This 429-nucleotide ribosomal RNA is filed under the name Verrucomicrobiota bacterium. RNAcentral's name for it is "Verrucomicrobia bacterium partial 16S ribosomal RNA". It matches the Rfam family "Bacterial small subunit ribosomal RNA", at positions 355 to 776 of the family's 1533-position model. Lineage: Bacteria; Pseudomonadati; Verrucomicrobiota. The record is from RNAcentral.